Molecule: ribosomal RNA, 253 nt
Filed under: uncultured bacterium
Lineage: Bacteria
Description: partial 16S ribosomal RNA
Rfam family: Bacterial small subunit ribosomal RNA
Source: RNAcentral
UACGAAGGGUGCAAGCGUUGUUCGGAUUUAUUGGGCGUAAAGCGCGCGCAGGCGGAUGAAGAAGUCAGAUGUGAAAACUCGGGGCUUAACCUCGAACGUGCGUCUGAAACUUUUUGUCUAGAGUGAUGGAGGGGAAAGGGGAAUUUCACGUGUAGGGGUAAAAUCCGUAGAGAUGUGAAGGAACACCGGAGGCGAAAGCGCCUUUCUGGCCAUUGACUGACGCUGAGGCGCGAGAGCAUGGGGAGCAAACAGG